Molecule: ribosomal RNA, 98 nt
Filed under: Vibrio parahaemolyticus
Lineage: Bacteria; Pseudomonadati; Pseudomonadota; Gammaproteobacteria; Vibrionales; Vibrionaceae
Also listed under: 1 other name
Description: partial 16S ribosomal RNA
Rfam family: Bacterial small subunit ribosomal RNA
Source: RNAcentral
UUAAAUUGAAGAGUUUGAUCAUGGCUCAGAUUGAACGCUGGCGGCAGGCCUAACACAUGCAAGUCGAGCGGAAACGAGUUAUCUGAACCUUCGGGGAA